Long non-coding RNA from Macaca fascicularis (crab-eating macaque), 1876 nucleotides. Lineage: Eukaryota; Metazoa; Chordata; Mammalia; Primates; Cercopithecidae. The record is from Ensembl.
UCACGCCUGUAAUCCCAGCUCUCAGGGAGGCAGAGGCGGGAGGAUAGCUUGAGCCCAGGAGUUCGAGACCUGCCUGGGUAAUAUAGCGAGACCCCGUUCUCCACAAAAAGGAAAAAAAAAAAGAAACCCCCCCUUUUCUUUUCACCACUCUGUUGAGCAAUUUUCCCAAAAAAAGGCAGCAAUUAUUAAACUUAAUUCAAGUGAGCCAGUCAAAGAUAGGUCCUAAAUUGCUAGUCCCAAUAGAACCACCUGAUCCUAAACCAGUGAGAAACAAACAGUAACAAUAUCCGCCGCUGACUUCAGCUAAGAAUCAAUGGCCCCUGCCCACCUCCCCCUCAACUCUUCUUUCUUUUGAGACGGAGUCACACUCCGUCGCCCAGGCUGGAGUGCACUGGCGCCAUCUUGGGCUCACAGCAACCACCUCCUCCUCCCGCAUUCAGGCGAUUCUCCUGCCUCAGCCUCCCAAGAGCUGGGAUUACAGGCACUCGCCAUCACACCCGGCUAAUAUUUUUGUAUUUUUAGUAGAGGCCGGGCUUCACCAUGUUGGCCGGGGUGGUCUCAAACUCCUGACCUCAAGUGAUCCGCCCACCUCGGCCUUGCAAAGUGCUGGGAUUACAGGUGUGAGCCACCGUGCUGAGCCAGCCCCAUUUUUUAAAUGAUGAUUUGAUAAGAGUGGACCCUGAGAAUUAGCUGACAGCAUCCCCUUUCUCUCUCCCUGCCUUGGUGUGACCCUCCCUGUGUGACCUUGGUUAAGUCCUCGAACUUCUGUCCCGUAUUUAAGAUGGAGCUGUUUUACCUACUUCAUAAGACAGUUGCAAGGUGCCAUUGAUUCUUGACUGCAAAAUACCCUGAAACCCUUAUAUGAAGGCUUAAGUCAACGGAGCCUAGUGGAAGAUUUGUGGCUUGUGGUUGAAAGUCACAUCAAAAGACAAAUGUGGCCACGUUCAGGAAUUGGAGACUUACUGGCAUGGCUCUACAACUGCUCAAUUAUUAAUCAUGCAGACUAACCUGUCAACACUGGGAGAUGCAACAUAGCAAAAGGACAGAGAAAUUAGAAUAUUUUGUGCAGAAAGCCCUAAAUUCUCACCUGAAUGUAACUUAUAGCUCCCUUACCUACUCUUACACAUGCCUUCCCAAUAUGCUAGACUGGCUUAUACAUAGGCCAACACAAAAUACAAACGUGACAUGUUCAUGUAGCCUAGUGGCUCGGUGCCUAUUCUCCAUGUAUCUGCAUGGUAAUGUUGGAAACUUUAAGUACAUUUCUUUCACAGCAGUUUUCUUCAUAAGUGGUAUAUAAAUCUCAUAUUCAAUGAAAUGGGGAAAUCACGUUGAGAAGUUGGUUUGUUAUCUCUCACUGAGCAAAGACUGGCAGGAGAUAAUAAAAAUAAAUAUGGGCACACACGUAUUAAUAUACAGCACGCAUUUACAAGUUUAUUUUCCAGAUAAAAUUGUGGUAUAAGAACAGUUCUACCAAAACAGUCUGCACCAUUUCCAAGUCUCAGUUAAUUUACAGCAACUGCUGCUUUUGGAGAUGGCUGUGAAAAUAUGGAAGUUCCUCUCAAGUAGGCAAAGAAACAGUUCUAGAUUUACUGAUUCUAAGUUUUAUUUUGUCAAGUUUUUAAAAUUUUCUCAGUGAGCAUGGUGACUGCAGAGGUUAGCGUUGUGAAAAGCUGGGCUAAAUAUUAUUUCUGUAAAGUCCAAUAGGAUUCCAUCCCUAUGAAAUAACACAAAAUUUCACUCUCUAAAAGCAACAGCAUGUAAACUAGAAUGAAAAAAGGAAAUUAUGUACGUAUGCCUAAUAUUCUUUGUGAAUGUCUUUCAUUUAACUAAAAUUAUAUUAGAAACCAGAUUGAUAAAUAAAAAUUUCAACAUAGUU